RNAcentral lists this ribosomal RNA (567 nucleotides) under uncultured bacterium. Its description in RNAcentral is "bacterial SSU rRNA". It matches the Rfam family "Bacterial small subunit ribosomal RNA", at positions 283 to 850 of the family's 1533-position model. The record is from RNAcentral.
GUAGGGGUUCUGAGAGGAAGGUCCCCCACAUUGGAACUGAGACACGGUCCAAACUCCUACGGGAGGCAGCAGUGAGGAAUAUUGGUCAAUGGGCGAGAGCCUGAACCAGCCAAGUAGCGUGUGGGAAGAAUGCCCUAUGGGUUGUAAACCACUUUUGCAGGAGGGUAAAAUGCUUCACGUGUGGAGUAUUGCAAGUACCCUGCGAAUAAGGACCGGCUAAUUCCGUGCCAGCAGCCGCGGUAAUACGGAAGGUCCAGGCGUUAUCCGGAUUUAUUGGGUUUAAAGGGAGCGUAGGCGGGGAGUCAAGUCAGUUGUGAAAAGCCACGGCCCAACCGUGGUCGUGCAGUUGAAACUGGUUCUCUUGAGUGCGCACGAGGACGGUGGAAUUCGUGGUGUAGCGGUGAAAUGCUUAGAUAUCACGAAGAACUCCGAUUGCGAAGGCAGCCGUCCGGAGCGUUACUGACGCUGAGGCUCGAAGGUGCGGGUAUCAAACAGGAUUAGAUACCCUGGUAGUCCGCACAGUAAACGAUAGGUGCCGGCUGUCGGCGACAGAAUGUCGGUGCCACG